Molecule: long non-coding RNA, 246 nt
Filed under: Medicago truncatula (barrel medic)
Lineage: Eukaryota; Viridiplantae; Streptophyta; Magnoliopsida; Fabales; Fabaceae
Description: long non-coding RNA (MTRU_LNC005240)
Source: RNAcentral
AAGAACUGGUGUCUGCAAUAUUCAUUGUAGUCUUUAUAUAGUUGAAAUAAUUAAUUAGAUGCAUUUUCAUAUAUAGGGACAAUGUAUAAGCUGUUUGGUCCUAUGAAUAAGCUGUUUGGUCCUAUGAAUAAGAUGUUUGGUCUGCCAAGAGAGGGAGGUACAGCUUCUAGUUCUUCUACAGAUUCUAAUAGCAACCAAAGCUAUAGAUACGAUGUGUUCAUCAGUUUCAGAGGUUCUGACACCCGU